UUAUACAUCCAUGGAGCAGAGCAAUAUCCAAAUAACUACUAUGAGUCAGGAGAACAACUUUUCUCUAAGUUUUGCCAACAUAUGAUUGACUGGAUCCUCAAGAAUACAUGUGAUGACCACCUACAAUCAAAAGCUCACAUCAAAAACCGAGAGAGGCAGCAUGCUAGCAAGAGCUCAUCACUUCAACAAACUCUCGGAAGUGCAACCAUAUUGUCAGAUACAAAACAUAAGUUCGUUGAAGACUUCAUGGCUGUAUGUGCAGAGUCAGAUAUUCUGUUGGAAAAUAUGAAAAAGCUACAUCCAUUUCUGGUCAAGCAUUGUAAACAGGGAGGAGUGUUGCCUGGACAUGAGCAGCAUAUGGAGGUUGUCCUGCAGAAGAUCCACGGGAAGAAAUUUUUAGUAGUUGUCGACGAAACAACUGACGCAAGAGACUGCAGCGUUCUGAACAUCAUCAUUGAUUUGAAGACCAGUACUUUCUGACGUCAUUUUCAUGGAGAUAUGUAAAUACUCAACCUUCUCCCAAGCAAUUUUGGGCUUCCUACACAGCAAUAGUCUGAACCACAGUAAUGUCUGGGCAGUGGUCACAUAAUGCAGCCUACUGCCUGAAAGCAUACAGGGACGUUCUGAAAGGUGUGGUGCUCAACAUAACGCAUGUGACCUGUCUCUGCCAUGCAGGCCAAGGUUCCUUCCGAAGCAGUGAGCACCAGGUGGAAUACCUGGUUUGAGGCAAUGAAGUACCAUGUAGAACAUGUUCAUCUGUAUAGAGAGUUCUUGUUGACAGAAAAUUCAUCAUCCUAAGUACUCCCAAACAUCUUCAGCCUGCUGGAAACAGAGGAGAAGGUGCAGGCCCUCACCAUCAAGCUGACCUUCAUCUCCGAGGGCUGCGCCAAACUGAUGACGGCUCUGAUAAUCCUGGAAGGAACCCAUUGUCCCACAGCAGUUUCUGCACACAAUGUAAUGGAGGAUUUGGAGGCCUACCUUGUGAAUGGAACGGCCAAAACAUGUGGAUGUGCUGCCAUAACUGAUGAGCUGCUGAGAAAGAUGGGGAUUCAAGAGAGGAGAGAGGUGCUUGACCAUCUUCAUGAUGCAUUUCACCUGGCCCUCACAAAGUUCUCAAUGCACUGGGACACACAUCCAGCCAAAGAGGUCUACAGGCUGGUAAGGGUGUUUGAUCUUAGUCAAGCUCCAGCCAUGGAAAAGCAGAUUGGAGCCUGCACACAACUGAACCCCCUAGCAAACCCAUCAGCAGAGCUUAGUGAAGAAUGGAUUGCUUAUCAGCACUGUGUGUCCAGGGAGCCUUUCAUACCUGAUCUCGCUGAAUACUGGAGUGUGAGAUUUCCAAGGGUUGCAGGGGUGGCAGUACCCUACAUUUACUUCCCAGUCAGCUCAGUUGACUGUGAGAGGAGUUUAAGCAAAUACAAGACUCUACUCACAGAUAAGUGAGAGGCACUCACUGAGCUGAACACAAAGAGGCUGACAAUCAUGUACUUCAACAGAGAUGUAUGUGAAAGAUGGAAGACUUAAAAUAGACAGACACAUACAGUAGGCCUAGCUCAUCAAGUAGUUCCAUAAGUUUUGCCUGUGUUACAACAACAGAUCGCUUGUUUUUUAUAAUAUGAAGUUCAAAUGUGAAGCACUUUAUUUUACAAAAGGAUGGAAUGUUUUGUUUUGUAACUGUACUGAAGCGCUUUCUUUGAUAUUCAUUAAAUUUUGAUUAUUUUCUUAUUGAA
Long non-coding RNA from Thunnus maccoyii (southern bluefin tuna), 1730 nucleotides. RefSeq lists it as uncharacterized. The record is from RefSeq and is a predicted model, not a curated record. The transcript is spliced from 2 exons. NCBI's taxonomy places the organism in Eukaryota, Metazoa, Chordata, Actinopteri, Scombriformes, Scombridae.